RNAcentral lists this ribosomal RNA (253 nucleotides) under uncultured bacterium. Its description in RNAcentral is "partial 16S ribosomal RNA". It matches the Rfam family "Bacterial small subunit ribosomal RNA", at positions 524 to 776 of the family's 1533-position model. The record is from RNAcentral.
GACGAACCGUGCGAACGUUGUUCGGAAUCACUGGGCUUAAAGGGCGCGUAGGCGGCUUCGCAAGUCCGGGGUGAAAGCCUCCAGCUCAACUGGAGAAGUGCCUUGGAUACUGCGGGGCUCGAGGGAGGUAGGGGUGCGUGGAACUUCCGGUGGAGCGGUGAAAUGCGUUGAUAUCGGAAGGAACGCCGGUGGCGAAAGCGACGCACUGGACCUCUUCUGACGCUGAGGCGCGAAAGCCAGGGGAGCAAACGGG